This 585-nucleotide ribosomal RNA is filed under the name Actinomycetales bacterium A229. RNAcentral's name for it is "bacterial SSU rRNA". It matches the Rfam family "Bacterial small subunit ribosomal RNA", at positions 44 to 646 of the family's 1533-position model. The record is from RNAcentral. Lineage: Bacteria; Bacillati; Actinomycetota; Actinomycetes; Actinomycetales.
GUGCUUAACACAUGCAAGUCGAACGAUGAACCACUUCGGUGGGGAUUAGUGGCGAACGGGUGAGUAACACGUGGGCAAUCUGCCCUUCACUCUGGGACAAGCCCUGGAAACGGGGUCUAAUACCGGAUAUGAGCCUGGGAGGCAUCUCCCGGGUUGUAAAGCUCCGGCGGUGAAGGAUGAGCCCGCGGCCUAUCAGCUUGUUGGUGAGGUAAUGGCUCACCAAGGCGACGACGGGUAGCCGGCCUGAGAGGGCGACCGGCCACACUGGGACUGAGACACGGCCCAGACUCCUACGGGAGGCAGCAGUGGGGAAUAUUGCACAAUGGGCGAAAGCCUGAUGCAGCGACGCCGCGUGAGGGAUGACGGCCUUCGGGUUGUAAACCUCUUUCAGCAGGGAAGAAGCGCAAGUGACGGUACCUGCAGAAGAAGCGCCGGCUAACUACGUGCCAGCAGCCGCGGUAAUACGUAGGGCGCAAGCGUUGUCCGGAAUUAUUGGGCGUAAAGAGCUCGUAGGCGGCUUGUCACGUCGAUUGUGAAAGCCCGAGGCUUAACCUCGGGUCUGCAGUCGAUACGGGCUAGCUAGAG